GCCGGAGUGGCGGAACUGGUAGACGCGCUUGAUUCAAAAUCAAGUUCGCUCCGCGCGAGUAAGGGUUCGAGUCCCUUCUCCGGCA
Molecule: transfer RNA, 85 nt
Filed under: Myxococcales bacterium
Lineage: Bacteria; Pseudomonadati; Myxococcota; Myxococcia; Myxococcales
Description: tRNA-Leu
Rfam family: tRNA
About the family: Transfer RNA (tRNA) molecules are approximately 80 nucleotides in length. Their secondary structure includes four short double-helical elements and three loops (D, anti-codon, and T loops). Further hydrogen bonds mediate the characteristic L-shaped molecular structure. tRNAs have two regions of fundamental functional importance: the anti-codon, which is responsible for specific mRNA codon recognition, and the 3' end, to which the tRNAs corresponding amino acid is attached (by aminoacyl-tRNA synthetases). tRNAs cope with the degeneracy of the genetic code in two manners: having more than one tRNA (with a specific anti-codon) for a particular amino acid; and 'wobble' base-pairing, i.e. permitting non-standard base-pairing at the 3rd anti-codon position.
Source: RNAcentral